AACGAACGCUGGCGGCAUGCCUAACACAUGCAAGUCGAACGAGACCUUCGGGUCUAGUGGCGCACGGGUGCGUAACGCGUGGGAACCUGCCCUUAGGUUCGGAAUAACUCCCCGAAAGGGGUGCUAAUACCGGAUAAUGUCUUCGGACCAAAGAUUUAUCGCCUUUGGAUGGGCCCGCGUUGGAUUAGCUAGUUGGUAGGGUAAAAGCCUACCAAGGCGACGAUCCAUAGCUGGUCUGAGAGGAUGAUCAGCCACACUGGGACUGAGACACGGCCCAGACUCCUACGGGCGGCAGCAGUGGGGAAUAUUGGACAAUGGGCGAAAGCCUGAUCCAGCAAUGCCGCGUGAGUGAUGAAGGCCUUAGGGUCGUAAAGCUCUUUUACCCGGGAUGAUAAUGACAGUACCGGGAGAAUAAGCUCCGGCUAACUCCGUG
This 433-nucleotide ribosomal RNA is filed under the name uncultured bacterium. RNAcentral describes it as "partial 16S ribosomal RNA". It matches the Rfam family "Bacterial small subunit ribosomal RNA", at positions 29 to 507 of the family's 1533-position model. The record is from RNAcentral.